This 340-nucleotide ribosomal RNA is filed under the name uncultured Sphingomonas sp. RNAcentral's name for it is "bacterial SSU rRNA". It matches the Rfam family "Bacterial small subunit ribosomal RNA", at positions 1 to 371 of the family's 1533-position model. Lineage: Bacteria; Pseudomonadati; Pseudomonadota; Alphaproteobacteria; Sphingomonadales; Sphingomonadaceae. The record is from RNAcentral.
UAGUGAGUUUGAUCCUGGCUCAGAAUGAACGCUGGCGGCAUGCCUAACACAUGCAAGUCGAACGAAGCCUUCGGGUUUAGUGGCGCACGGGUGCGUAACGCGUGGGAAUCUGCCCCUUGGUUCGGAAUAACAGUUGGAAACGACUGCUAAUACCGGAUGAUGACGUAAGUCCAAUGAUUUAUCGCCGAGGGAUGAGCCCGCGUAGGAUUAGGUAGUUGGUGUGGUAAAGGCGCACCAAGCCGACGAUCCUUAGCUGGUCUGAGAGGAUGAUCAGCCACACUGGGACUGAGACACGGCCCAGACUCGUACGGGGAGGCAGCAGUGGGGUAAUAUUGGACAA